This 1345-nucleotide long non-coding RNA is filed under the name Oncorhynchus kisutch (coho salmon). Its description in RNAcentral is "lncRNA (ENSOKIG00005039017.1)". The record is from RNAcentral. Lineage: Eukaryota; Metazoa; Chordata; Actinopteri; Salmoniformes; Salmonidae.
AAGCAGUAUAUUACAUUUAAGAACAUAUGUAUUCUGUACAAUAAUUUAGUGUAUAAUAUAUAUCAGAUUAUACAAUAAUCCAAUUAAAUAAUCAUAUAUACUGCAUGUAUGUUUGUAUCAAUAUUUGACAUAGAUGCUGCAGUUAUUAAAGAAAAGGUGAAAUCAGCCCCUGUAAAGAAAGGUAAAAAUGUUUUCAAAUCUGUGGUUAAUAUGUAAUUUGAUAGUGCUUGAUAGAGGCUGAAAGUCACUAUUUUACUGAGAAGCUGAAUUUAGCAGUGAGAAGACCAAACCAGCUCUUGCAAAAAAAUAAUGAAAUGGCCCAAUUCUUUAGAUUCAUUUUGUGUCUUCUCCAAUGAUUGUUUUAGAAGCUGAAAUUCACAAAGAAAACGCCAAAGCAGCUUCAUCAAAGAAAGGUAUGGAUAACUUUUUUCUUUAGACUUGAAACAAAAAACGCUAGUCUUACUCUAAAUAGAUGUCUGCCACAGAGUGUGCUUCAUUUCUCUCUCAACCAAAUACUCAGUAUGGGUUUGAAUCAAUUGCAGUUUGAACCUUUGCUGUAUAUGUUAUCAUUCUUGUUUGAUUAGAGUCCAAGGAAACUAAGGAACAAGCCAAACCAGAGCCUUCAAAAGAAGGUACAGAUAGGAUGUUUUUUUCUGGCUUCAAAAUGUAUAAUGGCGCAAUUCUUGAGAUUCAUGUUGUGUCUUGUCCAAUGAUUGUUUUAGACAGUGAAGUUCCCAAAGAACAAACCAUAGCAGCUACAUCAAAGAAAGAUGCUGAAGCAAAAGAAAAGGCCAAAUUAGCUCCAGAAAAGAAAGAUGCUGCAGUUAUUAAAGAAAAGAUCAAAUCAGCUCCUGCAAAGAAAGAUGCUGAUGUUGUUAAAGAAAAGACGAGACCAGUUCCUGCAAAGAAAGUGAAAACUGUAAAAGACAAGACAAAACCAGCACUGGCUAAGAAAGAGGCUGAAGUUGGCAAAGAAAAGUCCAAACCAACACCUGCAAAGAAAGAACUUGUUGCACCACUGGGGAAAGCACGACCAAAAAUUGGAAUCAAAGAAUCUGAAGUCAUUCGCAGAAAUCACAGUCACAUAAAUUCUUCUCUUACAAAGGAGAGAGUUAAAGUUGUACUUGUAAAGAAAGAACCUGCUCUGAAAGAGAAGGCCAUGCCAGCCCCUGCAAAGAAAGAACGUGAGGCUCCCAACCAGAAGGACAAACCAGUAUCUCAAAAGAAAGGUACUGAUUCAAUUCAAGAACCUGAGGGUGUGAAAGAGAUGGACAAACCAGACCCUCUUAAGAAAGAGCCUGAUGCGCCAAAGGAGAAUGCCAGACCUGUGAAAAAAGGUAGGUAA